UCUGGCGGCCAUAGCGGCAGGGUAACUCCUGUACCCAUCCCGAACACAGAAGAUAAGAUUGCCAGCGUUUCACCCUGUACUGCGGUGCGAGAGCCCACGGGAACGGUGAAUCGCUGCCAGGU
Ribosomal RNA from Methanosalsum zhilinae DSM 4017, 122 nucleotides. The record is from Rfam. Lineage: Archaea; Methanobacteriati; Methanobacteriota; Methanomicrobia; Methanosarcinales; Methanosarcinaceae.